UACUGAGGUGGUCAUAAACUUUAUCCUAAUUUUUUAAAGUUUACUGUAUAUACACGCCACUGCAGGAAAAAUGCUGUUCAAAUAUUUUUGACAGAUCUACAUUUACAGUGAUUCUAUCAGCAGUGCUGACUACAAUUCCAACUCUUAUACUUCCACAACAACCUGCACCACAUCCACAACCUCGUUAACUGUGUCCUGUCUCCUGUCCCGGACGUCUUCGUCGUCGUGCGAUCUCGAAAAGUCCAGGUUCUUACACAACGAGAACGAAGAAAACCGAUAAACGGCAGAAUUUCCCUGUCGCCUUCACCAGUCCAACACUCUUUUCAAGAAAUGAGAAACAAUCCGGUCGACCUGAUCUAAAAGGCACAGAAGCUGAAAUCCCCGCAUUAGUAAUCGAAUCAAGUUUUGUUGAAACAAAAACAAUCCUUCCGCCCCAAACGUCCACCUUGACCUUCGUAACGGCCGUAACGGCACUUCGACGGUAACACAGUGCUUACACCAACAUUCGGCUCAAGUAGAUGUCCAGAUGCACACUAGAUGGUAGUUCAGUGCACAUGCAUCAGCCAGCGCAGGUGUGUUGUCCCGUUUGAGACGACAUUUGGCAUGCUGCUAAGUUGAAUUUUUUUGAAAAUCUUUUCUUCAAACUUGGAAAAAGUAUAAUGUAUGGACUACUGAUGUAUGAAAUGCAGCCUUUUGCCAACGAAUCACGUGAAACAAACGAUGCAUUUAAAUUUUUUUGUUAGGUAAUGCAAAUUAAAUGCACCUCAAGAUCUCUGGGACUCCGGGCGGAAAUGGAUGAGCAGCUCCGCUUUAGCGUCUAGCGCGGACCGGGGCGGCCUUGGCCUUGGCGACUUCGGGUGUGUCCUGGAUCUGGGCGGGCGCUACCAAAUCGGCGAUGGGAGCGACGGGCAAGUCGUUGGAUCGAACGCGGCAUUGUAUCCGUAAAACUGCAUGAGCUUGGGCGGCAACAGCCAACACUAACUAUACGACCUCCUUCAGACUUGUUUCGGAUACUGUAAACAGUCUCCGUUUUACUAAUUUACAUUAAUAAGACGCAGUUGAAUGUUACUGGUGGAAUGAAAACAUAAACGCAAUAUAGAAAUUCAUUUUUUUUAAGUAAUUAAUUCCCAAUAUUUUGUGCCCUUCUUUCAGUACUUGUUAUAAAGUACAUUUGUUUCUAAACAUCAUUGAAAAAUACCAGAGAAAAAAGUUUGACUUCCCGUCAUAGCAGAAUCUAUUGAUUUUUUUAGUUAUAAAAAUUGAAAAUAAAUUUGCGAAUUUCUUGUGUGCAUUUAGGCGAAAUAUCUUGGUUUGUAAAGAAGAGUAAACAUGCCGAGCAAUAGAAGUAGAAGCAAAACUGCAGAAGUCCCCUCCUUUGACGAA
Molecule: long non-coding RNA, 1383 nt
Organism: Daphnia pulicaria
Lineage: Eukaryota; Metazoa; Arthropoda; Branchiopoda; Diplostraca; Daphniidae
Exons: 2
Source: RefSeq, a predicted model, not a curated record